CUUCCUACGGGGGGCAGCAGUAGGGAAUCUUCCACAAUGGACGAAAGUCUGAUGGAGCAACGCCGCGUGAGUGAAGAAGGGUUUCGGCUCGUAAAGCUCUGUUGGUAGUGAAGAAAGAUAGAGGUAGUAACUGGCCUUUAUUUGACGGUAAUUACUUAGAAAGUCACGGCUAACUACGUGCCAGCAGCCGCGGUAAUACGUAGGUGGCAAGCGUUGUCCGGAUUUAUUGGGCGUAAAACGAGUUCAGGCGAUUCAAUAAGUCU
Molecule: ribosomal RNA, 263 nt
Filed under: uncultured bacterium
Lineage: Bacteria
Description: partial 16S ribosomal RNA
Rfam family: Bacterial small subunit ribosomal RNA
Source: RNAcentral